GGGCCCGCACAAGCGGUGGAGCAUGUGGUUUAAUUCGAUGAUACGCGAGGAACCUUACCAGGGCUUAAAUGUAAGUUGCAUUAGUUAGAGAUAGCUAUUUCUUCGGACCACUUACAAGGUGCUGCAUGGUUGUCGUCAGCUCGUGCCGUGAGGUGUCAGGUUAAGUCCUAUAACGAGCGCAACCCCUGUUGUUAGUUGCCAGCGGGUAAUGCCGGGAACUCUAGCGAAACUGCCGGUGCAAACCGUGAGGAAGGUGGGGAUGACGUCAAAUCAUCACGGCCCUUACGUCCUGGGCUACACACGUGCUACAAUGGCCGGUACAGAGAGCAGCCACUACGCGAGUAGGCGCGAAUCUUCAAAGCCGGUCUCAGUUCGGAUCGGAGUCUGCAACUCGACUCCGUGAAGCUGGAAUC
This 413-nucleotide ribosomal RNA is filed under the name uncultured bacterium. RNAcentral describes it as "bacterial SSU rRNA". It matches the Rfam family "Bacterial small subunit ribosomal RNA", at positions 917 to 1333 of the family's 1533-position model. The record is from RNAcentral.